Molecule: ribosomal RNA, 470 nt
Filed under: Pseudomonas sp. TB1-B1
Lineage: Bacteria; Pseudomonadati; Pseudomonadota; Gammaproteobacteria; Pseudomonadales; Pseudomonadaceae
Description: partial 23S ribosomal RNA
Rfam family: Bacterial large subunit ribosomal RNA
Source: RNAcentral
GGUUAAGCGACUAAGCGUACACGGUGGAUGCCCUGGCAGUCAGAGGCGAUGAAGGACGUGCUAAUCUGCGAAAAGCGUCGGUAAGGUGAUAUGAACCGUUAUAACCGGCGAUGUCCGAAUGGGGAAACCCAGUGCAAUUCGUUGCACUAUCGUUAACUGAAUACAUAGGUUAACGAGGCGAACCGGGGGAACUGAAACAUCUAAGUACCCCGAGGAAAAGAAAUCAACCGAGAUUCCCCCAGUAGCGGCGAGCGAACGGGGAGCAGCCCAGAGUCUGAAUCAGCUUGUGUGUUAGUGGAACGGUCUGGAAAGUCCGACGGUACAGGGUGAUAGUCCCGUACACCAAAAUGCACAGGCUGUGAACUCGAAGAGUAGGGCGGGACACGUGGUAUCCUGUCUGAAUAUGGGGGGACCAUCCUCCAAGGCUAAAUACUCCUGACUGACCGAUAGUGAACCAGUACCGUGAGGGA